Molecule: ribosomal RNA, 445 nt
Filed under: uncultured bacterium
Lineage: Bacteria
Description: bacterial SSU rRNA
Rfam family: Bacterial small subunit ribosomal RNA
Source: RNAcentral
GUGAGGAAUAUUGGGCAAUGCCCGCAAGGGUGACCCAGCAACGCCGCGUGGAGGAUGAAUGCCGUAAGGUUGUAAACUCCUGUUAGAGGGGAAGAAUAAUUCCGAUUGCAUCGGAACUUGACUGUACCCUCAGAGAAAGCCCCGGCUAACUACGUGCCAGCAGCCGCGGUAAUACGUAGGGGGCAAGCGUUGUCCGGAUUUACUGGGUGUAAAGGGCGCGCAGGUGGGCUUGAUAGUUAGAGGUGAAAUCCUGUGGCUUAACUGCAGAACUGCCUUUAAUACUUCAAGUCUUGAGUGCGGAAGAGAGAGACGGAAUUCCAGGUGUAGUAGUGAAAUACGUAGAUAUCUGGAAGAACACCAGUUGCGAAGGCGGUCUCUUGGUCCGUAACUGACACUUAGGCGCGAAAGCGUGGGGAGCAAACAGGAUUAGAAACCCCAGUAGUCC